This 1977-nucleotide unclassified non-coding RNA is filed under the name Hevea brasiliensis (rubber tree). The record is from RNAcentral. Lineage: Eukaryota; Viridiplantae; Streptophyta; Magnoliopsida; Malpighiales; Euphorbiaceae.
CUCGAUUAAAUUAUAAUAAAAAAGUUCCUUAAAUUUUUCUCUCCUAUAAACUGGAUUCUUGUCUUCACAUAAAAUUCUCGACAAUAUAUCAAUAAUUCAUCAUCCGACAUGGAAUCCAAAAUAAAAUUACAGUGAAUCUUUCUAUGUCCAGGACGUGUCAAAUCCAAGUGGAGUGGAUUUGGAGGUGGCAGUGGUGGAGGGAAGAGGCUUAGAACAAAGUUCACUGAAGCAAAACGCAGGAGCAAAGUUCACUUACUGAGACUGUCUCGAUUCUGCAACUAAAUUGGGACGGGAAUUGUUAUUGCCGUUGCCAUCUAUCCUGGAAUCCUAAAACGCAGGAGCAUGAAGAUGGCUGGCUAAACCUGAAAAAGGUAUAGAGAAAAAGGGAACAACACAUGCUUGUAAGAAAUUCAUUGCUCGCAGUUUAGUUUGGUUUUCUUUCCCUCUUUCUUGUGGAAGAGAGUCUCUGCAAUCCAUUUUGCCCUUCUCUGGUUCAUUCUGAGUGCAUAUAGCAAGACAAGAUAGUUCUUUCAUUAAAUGGUCCUGCGGCUGUAAGUGGCAUAGGUUGAUGCAUUUUGAGUAUCACUUCUGUUUUGCCACUCUUCUUUGGGACCACAGGCAUGGAUGGGCCUGUCAAUCAGGCACUCUCCACCACCUUCCCUUUCUAGUUUCACACAGUAAUUCCUAAACCCUUCAACUGUUACUUGAAGCCUAAAAUCCAAAUUAAACAGGAAUUUCAUCUCCAUUCUAUUCAUUUCUGCUGUGCUUACUCCUCCUAUUUUUGCAUAGUAUGCAUUGUUAUAACACCUGCAAUGGAAGAUGAGAAAGAAAACCGGGAGAUGAGUAAGUUAUGGCAAACUUUAGCUCAUUAUUUCCUUACAAAUUAGAAGUUUGAUAAGUUUUUUUGCAGCUAAUAUUGUGCUUAAUCAUUUCUGAUUUAAUUAUGUUAUUAAUCAAACAAUAUAUUCAUGUUUUGUUUCUGAUCUAAUAUGGGAUUUUGGUUUCAACAUCCUAUAAAGAAAUUUAGUCUGCUCUGUGAUUUAUCAUUGAAUAAGAAGUUGAAAGAAUGACCCACGAAACCUGAGAAUUGGGCUUACUCAUCAUCCAUGGAAUUAGGCACAUCAAAGAAAGAUCAAAGAUAGAACCUGAUUCAUUAUUCCCCGUGAAAGUUCAUCUAUAAAGGUAAGCAUAGUCCAAAACAGAGAAUACAAGCAACUUCAUACUCAAGAAACAACAAAUUUCUUGACCGAAUUGAUGAAAAAUCCAAACUUUAGCAAGAAAUUUCAAAAGUAGUCUAGAUUUAAACAUAUUUUCUGGGUUUAAUGAUGCAUGUACUUACUCAUCAUCCAAAAAUUUUGCAGCUACCAUGAUAUUUGUGAUCAGAAGACGGUGCACGUUGAAGGAAGUAAGAUAUGCAUCCAUCUUAUGCAGAAAUCUCUCCAUGUAUAUGUAUGCAACAACAAAGCAAGAAUUGCUGCACUUGGAGUACUUAAAGAUGCGUUCAAUGUACAGUCUAAUACUCAAAGAAGGUGGUCUUGAUCCAUGGAAGACUGUAACAACAUCUUUCCUUCUUGAUCCAUCUAACAAUCUUUCAUUCUUUUGAAUACACCUCUCAAGAGCAGAUGCAAGAAGCACUAACACCCGAGGUCUUUCUGAAUCUCUUCCAGCCGAAUCAUAUAAUCCUAAAGUUGAAUAUGUUUCUGAUUCAGCCAUAACUAUGGAACAAUAUGAAUUUUCAUUCUGCCAAGCUAUAUAUAUAUAUAUAUAGGCCAUAUCUACAAAUAUCAGUGAGAAAUAAAAAGUUGCUUUCUGAAAUUUAUUCUUUUCUUUCAGGUAAAGUUAUGUUGGAACAUAGUUAUGUGACCUUAGAAAUUAAAUAACUCUAUCCCUUGUGGGCCAAUUGGGAGAAUCAAUCAAUCCUUUCCAUUGCACUAUAAAAAGUUCUUUGUAGACUAUGAGCACCAAGGAAUACUCAAA